Long non-coding RNA from Planococcus citri (citrus mealybug), 7451 nucleotides. RefSeq lists it as uncharacterized. The transcript has 2 exons. The record is from RefSeq and is a predicted model, not a curated record. NCBI's taxonomy places the organism in Eukaryota, Metazoa, Arthropoda, Insecta, Hemiptera, Pseudococcidae.
AGCACGCAAAUUGUAACGAUAGAAAAAUUAAAAAUUUUAUCCCUUUUAAUUUUGAUGCUGGCAAAUUUUCAUGUAGGUAGUAGGCACCUAGUAGAUUGCAGAUGAAUGGUUGAUGUUUGAUCAUUGAUGAAUUUUGCGAGAAAAAAAUUCGUCAUUCGUGAUGUACCUAGUGAACGGCACGAACGAAAAGAACGACUGUUCCGCAUCUCACGUUCAAAUACAAAAAUCGCGUCCUGCGCCUGCCAACCUCACACUUCGAUACCCGUUGGUCAAAUCGCCAACCACAAAAUCCACAAUCAUUCAUUAUUUUAAUGAUGGUAGGAUGGAUUGGAAGUUUGUGAAGUGUAUUCAAUAAAACAUCCACAUCUGCUCGGGCAAUCUGCACUUAAAAUCCGGCGAGAAAGUGGAAAUCAUGUGAGGGUGAGCGGGAUGAUUUUGUACGAUGACAAGAAACAUUGUUUUGGGGUUACAAAUCCGAAAAUAACAAAUCAAUGCUUUUGAUGAAGAAUUUUGGGGAAUUUUCAAGCACUAGAUUAAUUGUUGACACUAGAUUUUAACUUAACUUAUCGUACUGUAUCUAUUUCUUACGUGUGAUGUAAAGUAAACUAGUAGAAAAUAAGAAACAGAGACGAAUAUAAUGUGGAGAGCUGCUACCCGUGAUAAAUGAAAGAAAAAAUUAAAGUAGAUCUAACCAGGUUCCUUAACUUUUGAGCGGAACAGUGAUAAAAAAAAUUUACAAAAAAGAAAAAUUAGCUUACUAUAGGUGGGUAUACCUGGAAACGGCUGGUACAAUUCAUCCAAAUCUAAACACUGAAUUUUUUCCCAUGAAAAAAAUUGGAUACCAACCAUAAUAUUUAGUUUUCAUAAUAAUGUACUUUAGGUACUAAUUUAAAUAAAUAAAUUUUGAAAAAAAAGAUAAUAUGAUGAAACAAAUGCGAGAAUGCAUAAAGCUAGUGAAGGGUCCGCGGCAAAAAGAGUUCAACCGUUCAACCUACAUUUUAAAUAUUUUCCACAGUCCUCAGUCAAUAAUGUUCGACUGGACUUGGAAAAUAAAAUAAACGGGGUUGUUAUUUCAACUUCUUGCUACGUAGGUAGAGAUACUUAACAAAAUAGAAAUUCGAUGUCAUAAUUCAACCAAAAAGAAGAAAUGGAACUAAUAAUUGACCGCAAUUAUUCUAAUAAUUAAUAAAGAAAAUAGCUGUAAUCGAAAGUUAUUUAUUAUCACACGGAAUUUGACCAAUCGACCAUACUCGUAUAGUCAUUUUCAAAUCGAUAAUAGGCUUAAAUUAGUAAAUUAAUAAUCAUUUGUCCUAGUUAAAUUAAAAAAUAAGGCUACAACUAAACUAAAAGUUUUUAUAUGUAGGUACUACUAACUUAUGCCAUUUCUUCCAAAAAUACACAGGUAGGUAGUUUAAUUUUUUCAAAAAAACAAUUGAAAAAAAUUACUCUUUGAAAGAAUUUAAUUUAAUAAACAAAAUUGAAAAUAAUUCGUACAUUAGGUUGGUGGUACCUAAACCUAUAUUUAGUAUGUAAGUGCUUUAAAAAAAUGAAAUUUUUGAUUUUUCAAAUUCAUUUUUUCAAUUUUUAUGGAAAAAUGUUUAAACAAAUGCAGGUACCUAAUUAAUAAUUAUAAGUAUCAUUGAUUUUGCAGAAAUUUUAUAAUCUAAUUUCGUAACAUUGAUUUUCAAUGCAUGAAUAUUAGCCAGAUCGUGCCCAUAAGAUUUCUACACAAUGACGCCACCUUGAGGUGAAUGUUAUUUCCGAAUCGGAAUACCUACUGACAUAUGCCCAUCCGUGUAUAACAGAAGAAUUAUUGUUGGUUUGGGGUAAAUGUACGUUUUUGAGGAGAGUGCCGAUUUCGAUUCAUCAAGUAAUUUUGCACCAAAAUCGACUCCCAAGAGUGUUGGGUACAGCCCCCCCCCCCUCCAUCUACAAUUUUGGUCUGAAAUUUCCAAACGCGAAUGAGGAGUUUUUUUUGUGUGUAAUGUAUAAAAUGGAAUGUUUACAGAAAGGUGACCACGAAUAUGGUCAUUGGUCAUACUUUUUUGAUUGAACCCAUUUGAAGCCCCCCAGCGCACCCCCUCUCCAUAAUGGGGCUAAAAUUCAAACGAAUAGUCUCAGUACCGCGACCAUAACACGUCGAAUACCAUGUUUUCGGAGUUGCUGAACACGAAAAUGGCCACCGUUUUUCUAUAAAAAUACAAAUUACUUACUGAAUACUCGUACCUUGGUGAACCAAUGAAUGAAUCCAAGUGAAUAUAAAACGAGCUUUUGCUCAUCUAUAUGCUUAGUUUAAUAAAGUACCUAAUAAGAUUUUGAAUAUUUAUGAACAGUUUACUAGACAAUGACACAAUUAUGAUAAUAUACACAAUAAAGAUGAUUAUAAUUACGCGCAAUAAAUAGGUACUAACUGAAACUUGAUGUGACACAUAAGAAUAAAAUUUGAAUAACUAUAGGUACAUGUAAAAUGAGGCAACUCGGUAUAUUUUUUUUUACGUAAGUGAAUAAUAAUAAUUAAUCACACUUUUUACUGAACAAAGACUUAAUUAAAUGAAAAAUACAUAUUAAAAAAAAUAAAAAUUAAAACAUAUUGUGAGGCACGUUUCAGUCUACUUGGCAACCAUAAUCAAUCACAAUUCAUGAAUGAAAAACUAAUUAAAAUUAAAUGCAACAGGAAUGGGUGGAGGACAUGCAUAAAGAUGUACCUGAACUAAAAAUUGAACAGAAGAAAACUAUGUGAAGGGUAAAAAAAUGUGCAAAAAAGGAAAGCAGCACUUACCUACUUGAAGUGGCUGUAUGUCCUUACAAAAUCAUUCAUGCUGACUUGAUAGGACCAAUUAAGAAAAUGAAUCAUAUUCUUGGAGAGACAGGCAUGACAUUAAAUUUGGCUAGUGAAUUUUUUUUAGCAAUGUUUAAAAACCAAGAGUUAGAUACCUUUGGUAAACAAGAAAAAAUUGGAAAAUAUCUGAAAAAUAAACAAUAUUAAAAAAUAUGAGGGAUGUUGAACACGACAUUCUUGAAAAUGAACAUUUUCUACGUUUAAAAAUGACGCGUUUUGUGAAAAUAACCCAAAAACAACAAAAAAAUAUCAAAAAGCAACGUGCAACAUCGAGUAAAAUAUCCUUAAAAAUUAACAUGCUUAGGUGAAACACAAUUUAAAAAUUCCUCAAAAUUUAACAAAAUUUACCUUGGUACUUAAGAAACAUGAUUUUCGGUUCACAUAAGGGGAAAAAAUGAAGAAGAUCAUUACCUCAUUGUCUAGGUAUAUGCAAAAAAAAUUACUAUUUUCGUGAAUUUUUUUAUUUUCUAAAUGUGUUUUCUGUGAUUUUUCUACACAACUACCAAUUUACCAAAAAGUGAUUUUUUCACUUUUCAUAAGAGAUGUUAAUUAGAUUACAGCCAAUUUUUUAUAGGUGAGUUAGACACUUGAGAAUAAGUAGGUAAUGGUAUUUUAUCCUACUAGUAAAAUAAAGUGAUUUUUGACGAUUUUUGAGGUUUAUUUCCCGAGCAGAGCGAGGGAAGUAAUUAAAAAUCGUCGAAAAUCACUUUAUUUCACUAGUUGAAUAACAUAUUUUAUCCAAACGUGGGAAGAAAACGCGCAUUUGAUCACUCGAGCGACUAGCGAGAGUGAAUAAAGUAGUGUUUUAUUCUACUAGUAGGAUAAAGUAGUUUUUGUUGUUUUGGCUGAGUGUCCCACUGUCCCUUUAUAAAUAGAAAAAGGGGUAGUUUCACUGAUUCUUUGCCAAUCUCAAUGGUGAUAAGAAGUUCAGGUUUGUUUUUAUGUUCAAAUUCGAGAAAUUUGAACUCAGCAACUUGAAAGAGGUGACAAUCCCUUUUUACUUAAGUGAAUAAUAAUAAUUAAUCACGCCUUUUAGUGAACAAAGACUUAAUUAAAUGAAAAAACAUUAUAAAAAUUAACGCACUAGAAAAAUAGAACAAGUCGAACGAAGUAUUUCCGACUGUCCCCGAAGACUUCCGAGUUUUUGCACCAGAAAAAAAAAUAGUGCACUUUAACGUCUAGUCUUUCAAGUAGAUUUAUCAAAACGAAAAAUUCUAUAGGGAAGUUUUCAUCCCAGAAAUUGUUUUUUUUUUCUAAUUGUAAUUAUCUUAGCCAUCGGGUGUGAUUUUCAAAUUUUCAAUAAGCGAAGUUGUAAUGUUUCGUAGCCCCAAGAAUCGUCCAUAUUUACAGCUUCUACUUUUUUGGAAUAUAAUUAUUAAUUUCCCGAGCCUUUUCGAGUGCUAUUUCCAGUACACACAUUCAAAAUGACGAUUCUUGCCAUGGCCAUCUUAACUGGCCCAAAAUUUUUGAGCGAGACAAGUCCAUAUCGAAAGAGUAUGCAAAGAAUUACGGAAAUUGAUUUCAAAAUUGCAAAAAAAAAAUACAUUAUGACUACAAAAAUAAAGAUCUUCAAAGGGAACAAAUUCGAAUAAAAUUUUUCAGUUACUUAUUUUUGAAUAACUCUCGUAAAAAUGUUAAUUAAUUGACCGUUGAAAUAACAGAGAAUGACAGAAAUGUGACUAUUCUGGAGAAAAUGUCGAAAAUACAUUGGUCAAUUUUUCUGUUUUCACGGUUUUGAAAAUUAUCAUUUUUCAAUUUUAACGCCAAAAAAUGCAAGAUUAUGAUGAAAUUUACGCCAAAUACCCUAUAAAAACAUGAUCGAUCGAUUAAUCGGGGAAAAAAAAUUACUUACUGAUUAACCACCAAUGUUGUAUGUUGUAAACACGGGAACACUACACACGAAUGUAGGUACAGAUUUAAUGUUCAAAAAAAACGCGGUACCAUACGCGUGAGAAUAAAAAUUCAUUUUAAUUUAGGUACAUAAAAUAGAAGAAAAAGUCAACAAACCAACGAAGUAAUAAUUAUGUACAUCAUAUGGUAAUGUAAAAUUUCAAGUGCCCAGUAUAUACAUGUAAAAUGAGGCAACUCGCCAUAUUUUUUUACGUAAGUGAAUAAUAAUAAUUAAUCACGCCUUUUAGUGAACAAAGACUUAAUUAAAUGAAAAAACAUUAUAAAAAAUUAAAAUUAAAACAUUGUGAGACACUUUUCACAUUUCAGUCUACUUGGACACCAUUAUCAUUUUAUCAAUCACAAUUUAUGAAUGUAAAACUAAUUAAAAUUGAAUGAAACAGUACUGCGUUGAGGACAUGUACCUACCUAUAAGGAAAUGUGAUGUUAAUUAAAAAUCAAAUGAACGAGUCAAAAAGUCGAGUCUAAAAUUAUAAAGGGUAAAAAAAUGUGCAAAAAAGGAAAGCAACACUUACAUUGGAAGUGGCUGUAUGUCUUUGCAAAAUCAUUCAUGCUGACUCAAUAGGACCAAUUGUGAAAAUGAAACUUACAAUUAGAGAGACAGGCAUGACAUUAAAUUUGGUUAAAUAAAUCGAAAAGGUGUCAAAUUGAGCCAAUUGAGGUGAAAUAUGUGGGUUUUAUUUUGCAUAGUGGAGGGUCUAGAAUUGAUGAAAGUAAAAUUUAGACCAUUCUUGACUUUGAGCCUCCAAGCAACAUUGAGGAAUGUCAACGUUAUUAAUUUUAGGAUUCUUUCAAUAUUACCAAGAAUAUCUCCCAAAUAUUGCCAAAUUAGCUUAUGUCAACCUCUUAUUAAAAAUGCCACAUCAACAAAUAUUAUUUAUUAGGUACUUAAAAAGGUUGAAGAAUAGAAAAGGAAUUUGGCAAACCAGAAGCUUUGUUAUUGGACAAUGAUCCUCAGUUAAAAUCCACUCAGGAGUGGAAGUCAGACAGACGUCAUUUUUCGCUCCUACCAGUAAUUCUGUUGAAAGGGUCAUGGCGACUCUAGGUACCGUAGUUUUUGUAAAUACAUGGGCUGAUGAACAUACAAAGUGGCCUCAGUUGUUGAAAGAACAGCAAGUGCAAGCUGAAUUACACACCAAAAGUGCAACACCUGAGAGUACCUAUUCAAUAUGAGUUGGUCACUAAACAAGUAGAUAGUGCCUGACCAAUUUGGUUGAUAUUUUGAUUAAAAAUUGGUUAACUAUAGUUUACCCUAAUUUGGGAACAAAAGCAAGGGAAAAUAUCCGUUCUGCAAUACACAAAAAUAACUUUACUUUUCAGUAAAACUCAUUAAAUUAUUCGUUCAUCCCAUGGUGAAACAGUUUUGAUUCGCAAUAGACAAUUACGUGGUACCUAAUACCUAUCAAAUAAAUUAAGACAAAUUUAAUUUAACGCAAUUGAGAAUCUAAACCUAAUAUUUAUCAAAAUGUUGAAGAUAGGUUAUAAUUGUAAUUCUAUAAGAACUUUAUUAUGUAAAUAUUUGUAAUCUUUGCAUGAUGUCCGUGAGUUAUUCAAGACAAGUCAAAGUUCUAUGGAAAAGCCUAGAUACGAGUACCAAGUCAAUGGAGGGAGAUGUCAAUUGAUACUGAGCCAAAUCCAAAAGUAUCCUUUUUCACACAGCUCAGCAUGUUACUUGAUUGUAGUUGUAUUUUAUUUUUUUCCUUGACGUUUUUCUGUUGAAUUUUCUCCAGUGUAUUGUUGUUGAUUUUUUUUUAUCAAUUGUGUACCUAUUUGUGGUAAUAAUUUUCCUAUAAGUUCUUCUUUUUCUGCUGCUAUUAAUUCACCAACUAGUUUAAACUCUAUGGUUGUUGAGAAGACCAUCAUGAUUGCUAAUGCGUUGCUUAAAGUUCUAAUGAACUUACGCCAAUUUAUUUUCAUAUUUUUUUAAUGGUUGUUGUCGAUUGUUCAUCAAAUUAUUUGUCAGGUCUUUGACCUAAAUUAUUGUCAACUUGGGUAUCCAUUUUCAAAGACUUGUCAGUAUUGCCUAUUCUUGUAGGUUGAAGUUUUUAAAAGGCACACAGUGAGAUUAAUGUUUUAUCCUCGAUUACAUUUAACUGAUGUUCAAUGUUUAUCAAAUGAGUGAGCAGAUUUUGGUGAGGGCAUUUGCCUAAAAUACAGCAGUUUUCCUGAUUACCUACUGUUCAGUCUAUUUCCUAUGUAAAAGCAAAUGGUAAAAGUGGUUAGGUCCUAUUUCAAUAAUAUGUAAUGUAGAUAUUGUUUUCAAAUAAUUCAUUGACACUUGUAUAAUGUAUUCCUAUUAGAUUACUUCAUGUUGAAUUUUAUGUCUCUUUUCAACUUAUAAGAUAAGUAAUUUUUUUAGUGAUAAUUAUGGCAGAACGGAUCUCAAGAUUUAUUCUUUUAAUUUAAUUUUAUUUUUUCCUCUUUUUUAACAUUUUUUAAUUUUCACUUUUUGAUGCUUAUAAGUUAUAAUUAGAAGAAUUUAGCGUUGGUUUGAGUUAGACAUUUUGUUGCUUUGUUUUUCGUUCAGUUUUAUUUUAAUUUGAGUAUCUAUAGGUAUCAUCUGUUGAUCCGUUUUUGGAUUUCGGUGUGUACUGGUUAUGUAUUUUUCUCAACUUGUAUGUGUUGUUUUUUUUACCUUUUUUUAAUGUAAAUUUUCGCAAUGUAUUUACUAUUUAGUUUGAAUUAAACAGUGUUUGAAUAUUGA